Molecule: ribosomal RNA, 394 nt
Filed under: uncultured Alphaproteobacteria bacterium
Lineage: Bacteria; Pseudomonadati; Pseudomonadota; Alphaproteobacteria
Description: bacterial SSU rRNA
Rfam family: Bacterial small subunit ribosomal RNA
Source: RNAcentral
GAGUUUGAUCCUGGCUCAGAACGAACGCUGGCGGCAGGCCUAACACAUGCAAGUCGAACGCGUGUAGCAAUACACGAGUGGCGCACGGGUGAGUAACGCGUGGGAAUCUACCUGGUAGUACGGAAUAACCAUGGGAAACUGUGGCUAAUACCGUAUACGCUCUUCGGAGGAAAGUUUUUCGCUAUCAGAUGAGCCCGCGUUGGAUUAGCUAGUUGAUGAGGUAAUGGCUCACCAAGGCAACGAUCCAUAGCUGGUCUGAGAGGAUGAUCAGCCACACUGGAACUGAGACACGGUCCAGACUCCUACGGGAGGCAGCAGUGGGGAAUAUUGGACAAUGGGCGAAAGCCUGAUCCAGCCAUGCCGCGUGAGUGAAGAAGGCCUUCGGUUGUAAGAC